Molecule: long non-coding RNA, 261 nt
Filed under: Elaeis guineensis (African oil palm)
Lineage: Eukaryota; Viridiplantae; Streptophyta; Magnoliopsida; Arecales; Arecaceae
Description: long non-coding RNA (EGUI_LNC034495)
Source: RNAcentral
GCUUAGGUCAGCCUUACUACUGACCAACAAUGAAUCCUUCAACACUGAAGGUAGGGCGUUCCAUAUCCAUGAUUCGUGGGACUCUAUUCUGUGGGUAAGUGACGAUCUAUGGCCAUUCCUCGGUUCAUUCCGACCUUUCCACUUAAUUUUUAAUUAAUUUAAUUUUAAUUUUAAUUUUUUUUGUAGCUCAUCCACCACUUCGAUCAUUUCUUGGAGAUGAUCUGUGAAGCUCAACAAAUUUCAAAAAAGAUCGAGGAAAAG